CCCGCCGCUCCCGGUCCCGCCGCUCCCGGCGCUUCCUGCGCGGCCUCGGGCGGGGCCUUUCCCGGGGCAAGGUCCGGCCCGGGCGGGGCCGUUCGUACCGGGGGAUGGGGGAUGCGGGGCCCGGGGCUGCCGGAUCGGGGGUGCGGGACCGGGCCGAGGAACGGGACAGGAACCGGGACCGGGGGGGUUCGGGCCCCUCCUGCGCAAUUUGCCCUUAUAUGGGCAUGGCGCGCGCCGGCCGCGCAUUCCUGCGGGGCGGGGCCGGCGGGUCCCGGAGCGCUCCCGGUUCCGCGGGACCCGCCGGGCUCCUCCCGCUCCCCCGGGAUCCAUCGGGCCCGAGCAGCAUCCCCGAGGGCGGAGGCCCGAUCUGCAUCCCGGCCGGUGUCGGGUUCCACCGGGAACCGGAUCCCGCCGGGAAACCGGAUCCACCGGGAAACCGGAUCCACCGGGAACCGGAUCCACCGGGAACCGGAUCCCGCCGGCGAGCGAAACCCGAGCCGGGGCCGAGGGGGGGCUCUGAAGGGGUCCCGGGAUGCGGCUGUGGGGUCCCCGCGGUGCCGGGGCUGCAGCGGGGUGGGAGAGCCGGCGGGUCCCGGAGGAACAAACCCGGGGGUCUCGGGGGUCCCGGAGGUGCUGGCGUGGGGGUCCCGGUGUCCCGGGAGGUCCCGGCUGUACCGGAGUCGGGGUGCCAUGGGGGUCCCGGCACGUUCAGGGUCCCGGUGCCCCGGUGGUCCCGUGCACAGGGAGGGUCCCGGUGGUCCCGGCGCUGACCCGGGGUGGUCCCGGUGGUCCCACACUGACCCGGGGGGAUCCCGGUGAUCCCGGCACUGACCCGGGGGGGUGGUCCCGGUGUUCCCGGUGGUCCCGCACUGACCGGGGGGUGUUCCCGGUGUUCCCACACUGACCCGAGGGGGUGUUCCCGGUGGUCCCGGCCCUGACCCGGGGUGGUCCCGGUGGUCCCGCACUGACCGGGGAUGUUCCCGGUGGUCCCGCACUGACCCGGGGAUGUUCCCGGUGGUCCCGCACUGACCGGCGGUGGUCCCGGUGUUCCCACACUGACCGGGGGGGUGUUCCCGGUGGUCCCACACUGACCGGGGGGGUGUUCCCGGUGUUCCCGCACUGACCGGGGGGGUGUUCCCGGUGGUCCCGCACUGACUGGGGGGGUGUUCCCGGUGUUCCCGCACUGACCCGGGGUGGUCCCGGUGGU
This 1207-nucleotide long non-coding RNA is filed under the name Parus major (Great Tit). RNAcentral describes it as "lncRNA (ENSPMJG00000015988.1)". The record is from RNAcentral. Lineage: Eukaryota; Metazoa; Chordata; Aves; Passeriformes; Paridae.